RNAcentral lists this transfer RNA (72 nucleotides) under Phrynosoma platyrhinos (Desert horned lizard). RNAcentral's name for it is "tRNA-OTHER". The record is from RNAcentral. Lineage: Eukaryota; Metazoa; Chordata; Lepidosauria; Squamata; Phrynosomatidae.
GCCAGCAUGGCAUAGUGGUUUGAGUGUUGGAUUACAACUCUGGAGACCAGGGUUCAAUUCCCAGCUCAGCCA